This 496-nucleotide ribosomal RNA is filed under the name uncultured bacterium. RNAcentral describes it as "partial 16S ribosomal RNA". It matches the Rfam family "Bacterial small subunit ribosomal RNA", at positions 28 to 507 of the family's 1533-position model. The record is from RNAcentral.
GAUGAACGCUGGCGGCGUGCCUAAUACAUGCAAGUCGAGCGAACAGACGAGGAGCUUGCUCCUCUGACGUUAGCGCGGACGGGUGAGUAACACGUGGAUAACCUACCUAUAAGACUGGGAUAACUUCGGGAAACCGGAGCUAAUACCGGAUAAUAUAUUGAACCGCAUGGUUCAAUAGUGAAAGACGGUUUUGCUGUCACUUAUAGAUGGAUCCGCGCCGCAUUAGCUAGUUGGUAAGGUAACGGCUUACCAAGGCAACGAUGCGUAGCCGACCUGAGAGGGUGAUCGGCCACACUGGAACUGAGACACGGUCCAGACUCCUACGGGAGGCAGCAGUAGGGAAUCUUCCGCAAUGGGCGAAAGCUUGACGGAGCAACGCCGCGUGAGUGAUGAAGGUCUUCGGAUCGUAAAACUCUGUUAUUAGGGAAGAACAAAUGUGUAAGUAACUAUGCACGUCUUGACGGUACCUAAUCAGAAAGCCACGGCUAACUACGUG